RNAcentral lists this non-coding RNA (32 nucleotides) under marine metagenome. The record is from RNAcentral.
GGACGAGGGUUCGAUUCCCUCCGACUCCACCA